AUUGAACGCUGGCGGCAUGCCUUACACAUGCAAGUCGAACGGUAGCGGGCCUUCGGGUGCCGACGAGUGGCGCACGGGUGAGUAAUACAUCGGAACGUGCCCGAUCGUGGGGGAUAACGAGGCGAAAGCUUUGCUAAUACCGCAUACGAUCUACGGAUGAAAGCAGGGGACCGCAAGGCCUUGCGCGGACGGAGCGGCCGAUGGCGGAUUAGGUAGUUGGUGGGAUAAAAGCUUACCAAGCCGACGAUCUGUAGCUGGUCUGAGAGGAUGAUCAGCCACACUGGGACUGAGACACGGCCCAGACUCCUACGGGAGGCAGCAGUGGGGAAUUUUGGACAAUGGGCGCAAGCCUGAUCCAGCCAUGCCGCGUGCAGGAUGAAGGCCUUCGGGUUGUAAACUGCUUUUGUACGGAACGAAAAGCCUUCUUUUAAUACAGGAGGGUCAUGACGGUACCGUAAGAAUAAGCACCGGCUAACUACGUG
RNAcentral lists this ribosomal RNA (482 nucleotides) under uncultured bacterium. RNAcentral's name for it is "partial 16S ribosomal RNA". It matches the Rfam family "Bacterial small subunit ribosomal RNA", at positions 30 to 507 of the family's 1533-position model. The record is from RNAcentral.